This is a small nucleolar RNA of Ictidomys tridecemlineatus (thirteen-lined ground squirrel), 137 nucleotides long. Lineage: Eukaryota; Metazoa; Chordata; Mammalia; Rodentia; Sciuridae. The record is from Ensembl.
GCAUGGUAAUGGAUUUAUGGCAGGUCCUCCUCUGUGGGCCUCUCAUAGUGUACCCAUGCCAGAGUAAACUGCAGCCUUGAACCAUUGCCCGGCUUCCUUGUCCGUGGGCUGUGAGCACUGAAGAAGGUUGCACAGUU